UACGGAGGGUGCAAGCGUUAUCCGGAUUCACUGGGUUUAAAGGGUGCGUAGGUGGGCAGGUAAGUCAGUGGUGAAAUCUCCGGGCUUAACCCGGAAACUGCCAUUGAUACUAUCAGUCUUGAAUACCGUGGAGGUAAGCGGAAUAUGUCAUGUAGCGGUGAAAUGCUUAGAUAUGACAUAGAACACCAAUUGCGAAGGCAGCUAUCUGCAGAGAUAUUGACACUGAGGCACGAAAGCGUGGGGAUCAAACAGG
This 253-nucleotide ribosomal RNA is filed under the name uncultured bacterium. Its description in RNAcentral is "partial 16S ribosomal RNA". It matches the Rfam family "Bacterial small subunit ribosomal RNA", at positions 524 to 776 of the family's 1533-position model. The record is from RNAcentral.